UACAGAGGGGGCAAGCGUUGUUCGGAAUUACUGGGCGUAAAGGGCGCGUAGGCGGCCUUCUAAGUCGAACGUGAAAUCCCCGGGCUCAACCCGGGAACUGCGUCCGAUACUGGAAGGCUUGAAUCCGGGGAGAGGGAUGCGGAAUUCCAGGUGUAGCGGUGAAAUGCGUAGAUAUCAGGAGGAACACCGGUGGCGAAGGCGGGUCUCUGGGCCGAUACUGACGCUGAGGAGCGAAAGCGUGGGGAGCAAACAGG
RNAcentral lists this ribosomal RNA (254 nucleotides) under uncultured bacterium. RNAcentral's name for it is "partial 16S ribosomal RNA". It matches the Rfam family "Bacterial small subunit ribosomal RNA", at positions 524 to 776 of the family's 1533-position model. The record is from RNAcentral.